UACGAAGGGGGCUAGCGUUGCUCGGAAUCACUGGGCGUAAAGGGUGCGUAGGCGGGUCUUUUAAGUCAGAGGUGAAAUCCCAAGGCUCAACCUUGGAACUGCCUUUGAUACUGGGGAUCUUGAGUUCGGGAGAGGUGAGUGGAACUGCGAGUGUAGAGGUGAAAUUCGUAGAUAUUCGCAAGAACACCAGUGGCGAAGGCGGCUCACUGGCCCGAUACUGACGCUGAGGCACGAAAGCGUGGGGAGCAAACAGG
RNAcentral lists this ribosomal RNA (254 nucleotides) under uncultured bacterium. RNAcentral describes it as "partial 16S ribosomal RNA". It matches the Rfam family "Bacterial small subunit ribosomal RNA", at positions 524 to 776 of the family's 1533-position model. The record is from RNAcentral.